Molecule: ribosomal RNA, 184 nt
Filed under: Odontobutis interrupta
Lineage: Eukaryota; Metazoa; Chordata; Actinopteri; Gobiiformes; Odontobutidae
Description: partial large subunit ribosomal RNA
Source: RNAcentral
CCCAAACCUAUAAAAACAACAACCUACUAUUAAUACCCUAACAUUUUAUAUAAAACAAAUCAUUUUCCCACUUAAGUAUGGGAGACAGAAAAAGGCACACGGAGCAAUAGAAAAAGUACCGCAGGGGAAGGCUGAAAUAGAAAUGAAAUAAACUGUAAAGGAUAAAACAGCAGAGAUUAUACUC